ACGGCCACGCCACAUUGAAAACACCGGUUCUCGUCCGAUCACCGAAGUUAAGCAAUGUCGGGCCUGGUCAGUACUUGUGAGGGUGACCACCUGGGAACACCGGGUGCUGUAGGCU
Molecule: non-coding RNA, 115 nt
Organism: Cordylochernes scorpioides
Lineage: Eukaryota; Metazoa; Arthropoda; Arachnida; Pseudoscorpiones; Chernetidae
Source: the annotation of a GenBank genome assembly